This 480-nucleotide ribosomal RNA is filed under the name uncultured bacterium. RNAcentral's name for it is "partial 16S ribosomal RNA". It matches the Rfam family "Bacterial small subunit ribosomal RNA", at positions 29 to 507 of the family's 1533-position model. The record is from RNAcentral.
AUGCACGCUGGCGGCGUGCUUAACACCUGCAAGUCGAACGAAGCACUUUAUUUGAUUUCCUUCGGGACUGAUUAUUUUGUGACUGAGUGGCGGACGGGUGAGUAACGCGUGGGUAACCUGCCUUGUACAGGGGGAUAACAGUUGGAAACGGCUGCUAAUACCGCAUAAGCGCACGGCAUCGCAUGAUGCAGUGUGAAAAACUCCGGUGGUAUAAGAUGGACCCGCGUUGGAUUAGCUAGUUGGUGAGGUAACGGCCCACCAAGGCGACGAUCCAUAGCCGACCUGAGAGGGUGACCGGCCACAUUGGGACUGAGACACGGCCCAAACUCCUACGGGAGGCAGCAGUGGGGAAUAUUGCACAAUGGGCGAAAGCCUGAUGCAGCGACGCCGCGUGAGCGAAGAAGUAUUUCGGUAUGUAAAGCUCUAUCAGCAGGGAAGAUAAUGACGGUACCUGACUAAGAAGCACCGGCUAAAUACGUG